CAUUCAGUAGCCCAGCUACUUGUUUACACCCUUGUCUUUUUGCGUACUUAUCGUUUCCUCGGCGGGCUUGCCUGCCGGUUGGACAACUUUAUAACCUUUUUAAAUCUUCAAUCAGCGUCUGAAUGAUAUACAAUAAUUA
RNAcentral lists this unclassified non-coding RNA (139 nucleotides) under soil metagenome. RNAcentral's name for it is "partial internal transcribed spacer 1". The record is from RNAcentral.